GGCAGCGGGCGCAGAGCCGCCCAGGGGCGCGCGGGAGCUCCGCUGUGCCGCUCCCCGUCCGUUGGGAGGGAGGCGUUCUCGGUGUCCGUCAUGGCGGCGGUGAGGGGUUCCAGUGUCAGGAGGGAAAGGCAGCUCCCAGAACCUCAGGGAAUGCUGGUCUCACGCCCUCAGGCGAAAGAACGUACAGGUGUUCAUUUGUAAGAUGACAUGAACCUUGUCUCUGUGCAUCCUUUGUGGACACCACGUUACACACAGAAUAGUCCCAUCACCGAGUCACAUUUGUUCUGCUGGACCUCCCUCCACCACCCUGGCAUCAUCAGACAGGCUCUGCACAGUGUACUGCCUUGCUUUUGGAGGCCCCUUUGAUGGAACUCCAGAUUCCUAGAGUCCAAAGGGAGGUGAGUGGAAAUCCUUUUCCUGUGAGGAGAGGAAUGAAGUCAGGCUGUCAUGCUUUUCCAAGGACAUGCUGCAUGUGCCUGAAUCUGCCUGCCUGCAGGUGAAGAAGUGGACAAUAAAGACUUUAUAGAGAGCACAUUAAGGAGUUGUUUUUCAAAGUUGUUUUGUAUUAACUUCUACAAACUGAAGCUUUGUGCUAACUGCUGGCUUGUAGUACAGCUUGGUGUCAACGGUUCACGGGCG
Numida meleagris (helmeted guineafowl) is the source of this 639-nucleotide long non-coding RNA. RefSeq lists it as uncharacterized. The transcript is spliced from 3 exons. Lineage: Eukaryota; Metazoa; Chordata; Aves; Galliformes; Numididae. The record is from RefSeq and is a predicted model, not a curated record.